RNAcentral lists this long non-coding RNA (535 nucleotides) under Setaria viridis. RNAcentral describes it as "long non-coding RNA (SVIR_LNC003495)". Lineage: Eukaryota; Viridiplantae; Streptophyta; Magnoliopsida; Poales; Poaceae. The record is from RNAcentral.
CCUUAUGACAUGCAUUUUGUGCUCCCAUGCGUAUCUUAUGUUUGCAUUUAAGGGGGAGUCUUGCAUUUAAUGGGGAGUUUUGCAUUUGAGGGGGAGUAUGCAUUGUUUUGCUCUUGUGCAUGCAUUUCAUUGUGGCAUGUUUUCAGGGGGAGUGCAUGUGUUCGGGGGGAGCUUGUGAGUUUUUUGCUCUCUUUUGCAUGUUGUGUUGAGCUUUUACCUUUUCUUGAGGAACCGGCAUUUGGUUUGAGCUUUUGAGCAUCACUUGAUUGGUGUUAAGCCCUUUUUGCCUCUUCUUGAGGGAUCAUGUGUUUUUGGUCUUAUGAUUGGUGUUAAGCCCUUUUUGCCUCUUCUUGAGGGAUCAUGUGUUUUUGAUCUUUACAUGAUUGGUGUUGAACCCUUUCUGCCUCUUCUUGAGGGAUCAUGUGUUCUUUGUCUCGGUUGUGUCGAGCCGUUGCCCAUAUCUUUGGGGACUGAGACUUUACUAAGUUGAUUUUGCCUUUGUGAUAUUUCUCAUGCCAAGUGACUUUAAUACUUG